CAGUCGCCACGGGAAUACGAAGGGGGCUAGCGUUGCUCGGAAUGACUGGGCGUAAAGGGCGCGUAGGCGGAUGGCACAGUCAGAUGUGAAAUUCCCGGGCUUAACCUGGAGGCUGCAUUUGAUACGUGUUGUCUAGAGUGAGGAAGAGGGUUGUGGAAUUCCCAGUGUAGAGGUGAAAUUCGUAGAUAUUGGGAAGAACACCGGUGGCGAAGGCGGCAACCUGGUCCUUGACUGACGCUGAGGCGCGAAAGCGUGGGGAGCAAACAGGAUUAGAUACCCCUGUAGUCCCUGUCUCUUAUAC
RNAcentral lists this ribosomal RNA (301 nucleotides) under uncultured bacterium. Its description in RNAcentral is "partial 16S ribosomal RNA". It matches the Rfam family "Bacterial small subunit ribosomal RNA", at positions 509 to 807 of the family's 1533-position model. The record is from RNAcentral.